RNAcentral lists this ribosomal RNA (408 nucleotides) under Vasticardium orbita. RNAcentral's name for it is "Trachycardium orbita partial 28S ribosomal RNA". Lineage: Eukaryota; Metazoa; Mollusca; Bivalvia; Cardiida; Cardiidae. The record is from RNAcentral.
CGGGUGGAGCCGCAAUGUCGCUCGUCCCGGGGCAUUCAGCCCGCUUCCCGCCGCCGGGCCUCCCUGGAUUCAAGCGGUGCGCGCUCUUCGGAGUGCGUGCCCGCCGGGGUACGGACUAAAAAUCCGGUGGCGAGACGGGUGCACUUGCUCCGGUCGUCGAGAGCCACGACCGGUUCCUUCGCAGGCAGUGUGGACUCCCUUGGUCGGGCUAACGGCGGGUCGAACGUCGUCCCUAUUGCUGGGCUUCGAUCGCCUGCUCCGACCGGGAGGGAAACUGGCCUGGGGACCGAGGACUGCAUCUGGCUGGCGUCUCCGUUACUCUCGAGCCGUGCGCCCUUGUCGGCCCCUUCGGGGUGGUCAGGCAAGACGGGCGCGAGGACGCAUCGGGAGGGAGCGGACGGCGUGUCG